Molecule: ribosomal RNA, 895 nt
Filed under: Neofusicoccum parvum
Lineage: Eukaryota; Fungi; Ascomycota; Dothideomycetes; Botryosphaeriales; Botryosphaeriaceae
Description: SSU rRNA
Rfam family: Eukaryotic small subunit ribosomal RNA
Source: RNAcentral
UGUAUUUAUUAGAUAAAAAACCAAUGCCCUUCGGGGCUCCUUGGUGAUUCAUGAUAACUUAACGAAUCGCAUGGCCUUGCGCCGGCGAUGGUUCAUUCAAAUUUCUGCCCUAUCAACUUUCGAUGGUAGGAUAGUGGCCUACCAUGGUAUCAACGGGUAACGGGGAAUUAGGGUUCUAUUCCGGAGAGGGAGCCUGAGAAACGGCUACCACAUCCAAGGAAGGCAGCAGGCGCGCAAAUUACCCAAUCCCGACACGGGGAGGUAGUGACAAUAAAUACUGAUACAGGGCUCUUUUGGGUCUUGUAAUUGGAAUGAGUACAAUUUAAAUACCUUAACGAGGAACAAUUGGAGGGCAAGUCUGGUGCCAGCAGCCGCGGUAAUUCCAGCUCCAAUAGCGUAUAUUAAAGUUGUUGCAGUUAAAAAGCUCGUAGUUGAACCUUGGGCCUGGCUGGCCGGUCCGCCUCACCGCGUGUACUGGUCCGGCCGGGCCUUUCCUUCUGGGGAUCCUCAUGCCCUUCACUGGGUGUGCUGGGGAACCAGGACUUUUACUUUGAAAAAAUUAGAGUGUUCAAAGCAGGCCUUUGCUCGAAUACAUUAGCAUGGAAUAAUAGAAUAGGACGUGCGGUCCUAUUUUGUUGGUUUCUAGGACCGCCGUAAUGAUUAAUAGGGAUAGUCGGGGGCAUCAGUAUUCAAUUGUCAGAGGUGAAAUUCUUGGAUUUAUUGAAGACUAACUACUGCGAAAGCAUUUGCCAAGGAUGUUUUCAUUAAUCAGUGAACGAAAGUUAGGGGAUCGAAGACGAUCAGAUACCGUCGUAGUCUUAACCGUAAACUAUGCCGACUAGGGAUCGGGCGAUGUUAUUCUUUUGACUCGCUCGGCACCUUACGAGAAAUCAAA